GAGGCGCCUCUAUCUCCCAAUCUGAACCUCCGCGUGGAAUCCCCAACGUUUCAACAUUAAAUGCUCACCGAAGUUCAUUCUAGAUUUAACCCCUAAAUUGGGAACAUUAUGAAGACAUUUGCAUGCGACGAUGGGAUCGACCUCGAGUGGCUUAGCUCGGAUUACUCAAAGUUCUAAGGAUAAACUUUGAGCACCCAUUUGGUACCUUUGAGCUUUGGUGUGCAGGUUAGGAUGCGAUUUCAGUAGAGUGACGGUGUCAAUUUUUUCUCCUCCUUCCAAUGAUUGGAUGUCUCUUAUAUAGAGUGAAAAUGGGUGGUCCUUGAAUCAUGAGCUGGAAGAGGUGAAAGGAAUCAUUCCGUUAGAGUAAGAUUUCCUUCUGGAUUGUGUCUGGACCAGCGUGACCGCGACCUUUUGUCUGUAGUGUCCUUUGAAGCAUAUGCUUUUUAAGUGAACCAACCUUGGAUGCUCAUGAAAGACAUGGAUUCUUAACAGUGCCAAUCUAUGCUUUACCUCUCACACAAAUCCAAGCACCCUUGCUGUGAGGUCGUGAUUUAGACUUUUCUUCUCUUUUUGAUGCCAUGGAACAUAUGCCAAUAUGUGCCUCUGUGUGAUUCUGCUAGGUUGUAUGACAAAUGCUUUUGUUUUGGUGUAAGCGAGAAGAUGAUUUGAAAGAGAGUUGCAAACUUGGGAAUAGCUCCAAUGCAAGAUUGAGGUCGUUACUAUGUAUCGCUGAAUUGUGGUUAACGACAACGUUGCAUUUGGCGUGGAACUUAUUGCAGCUUUUCUAUUGUGAUAUCCCCUUGUUUAUGCUGGUUUUAUUUGUUUUGGAAUUGUUGUGACAUGUGUGUGUCCGUUUUAAGCUUCGACUCUUUCAAUUGUGGAUUCAACUCUUGCAUAUUUAGUGUUUCUGCACGUCACUUAACUGAUGUGAUGAUGAUAUUUGACUCCACGGCUGUUUCAACUGUUAUGAAUUUGAUUCAACCUCACUGGCUUUGCUUUGUCUAAUGGACUUGAUCAUGAUAGCUUUCCACUGAUGUACUUUGAAAUCUUGUGAAUACUGGUGCAGGUACAUGGAACUUUGAUACAGGAUUUCCGAGUCUUGGCUUUCGUUUCAAUGAGGUGAUAUGUAUUGUCUUGUCAUCGGUUCACAUAACGGAGAUCCAAAUCAGAGGAUUGACCGUGGAAAGAUCCAGUUCCAGUCUUGGCCAAAAAUGUAUCCUUUGGAGUUUCUAAAGAAUGUGUGUCCUACUAGUUUACAUCAGCGGUUACCACCUGUUUCGACCUGUCUCCAUUGCAAGGCACUCUCAGCCUAAUCAAUAAUGUUUCUAAAAGUUAUCCAUAACAGUAUCCUCUGGCAAGGCAUGUUCAUAGCUUUUACAUGAAUCUAGGAGUUUCUCAUUCCCUUCUCUGUAACUGAUAGCUGAAACGUAUGACAAGAUAUAUGCUCCCACUGUCUCACAUCUGCCACACCAAUGUACUUGUUACAUCUUUUUCCCGCCAGCGCUUCCAUUUUUCGGUCCUUUUUGAUGGAAGAAAAAUAGAAAUUGCAUGAAGUUGCAGCGAGAUUUAUUGCUCAGGUUCUGUUUGGAUAUUUAGCUAAUGUGUGAGCUGAUUUGUGAGUUGUUAUACCUAUCGUGGCAGUAGUGGUUUGUGUAGUUUAUGGAUUUGUUUGAUCAAAGUUGGAUGGUUUGUGACUGACUUGGCCUAGGUGGUGAUACUGUUAAUGGACUGUGGAUUUUGGUGGUUUUCAGGUCCAUCACAUUACAGGUCAUGGCGUUGCUAUACCUCUUCGAAUGUUCCGUCUUGUGCCACUCUAUCGUGGUCCUAAGCUCGGAACACUACCUGGUUGCAGUAUGCUUAUCAGGACAUGUCUCGCAAAUUCUUGGAAUUACUUGAAGAAGAGAGUGUAAUGAGUUGUAUUGCUUAGCUGCCAUUCUAUUCCAAUGCUUGAAUAACUUCUCUUGUAAUGCCAACAUGUCCUUAGAUCAUAGGCUAGGACUUUUGUAAACCAUGAAGUUUAACAAUACAAAUUGUAAAUCUAUGCCUGUAUUAAUAAAACUUAGGAACAUCAUGCCCAUCAAAGCAUGGUCUUGUAAAUCCAAGUUAAUGGUCUUUAUGCAAA
Long non-coding RNA from Lathyrus oleraceus (garden pea), 2122 nucleotides. RefSeq lists it as uncharacterized. NCBI's taxonomy places the organism in Eukaryota, Viridiplantae, Streptophyta, Magnoliopsida, Fabales, Fabaceae. The transcript is spliced from 5 exons. The record is from RefSeq and is a predicted model, not a curated record.